Podarcis lilfordi (Lilford's wall lizard) is the source of this 77-nucleotide non-coding RNA. The record is from the annotation of a GenBank genome assembly. Lineage: Eukaryota; Metazoa; Chordata; Lepidosauria; Squamata; Lacertidae.
GGAGAAUGGAUGUAGCUCAGCGGUAGAGCAUCUGCUUUUCUUGAAGAAGGAUCCAGGUUCAGUCCCCAGCAUCUCCA